RNAcentral lists this transfer RNA (56 nucleotides) under Erotides cosnardi. Its description in RNAcentral is "tRNA-Ala". The record is from RNAcentral. Lineage: Eukaryota; Metazoa; Arthropoda; Insecta; Coleoptera; Lycidae.
GGAUAAACUUAAUUAAUUUGCAAUUAAUAUAUUUUGAUAAAUAAUCAAAUUAUCUU